Molecule: long non-coding RNA, 4324 nt
Organism: Culex pipiens pallens (northern house mosquito)
Lineage: Eukaryota; Metazoa; Arthropoda; Insecta; Diptera; Culicidae
Exons: 2
Source: RefSeq, a predicted model, not a curated record
GGCUAAAUUCCAAAUUUUAGCUCAUUCGCUUGAAGUUUGUGUUGAGUACCCCUCGUCUGAGUGCUUAGUCAAAUGACAGCACAAAUACAUUCAACGCACAUGAUGUAACAUACCUUAAAUAAACCGAGCUUGCGCUCGAGUCGGUCUCUUUUACCGCUGAACUCCAAACGGACGACAUCGUACUUUCUGCUCUGCAAACCUUAUCACAACACAACUCUCAUCUCUAAAUCCCGGUUGUUUUAAUUGGCGACGAAGGAGUGAAGAACUACGCGAGCGAUUUUUUUCUUUCGGUGGUGUAUUUAAUCGGACAGUUUUUAUUAUCAAUUUUUCCUUUGCGGGAUUGAAACGAUCGUCCUGUUCGGGUGUGCACGCAUCGGGGAAGAAAUUUGCUAGCCAUUGUGUGCGAGUAGCGGUGGCACCAUUUUGUUUUCUACAAACCGACGCCGAGUGAGCAGCAGCAAAAAACCGAGGAUUCUGUCGGUGUGCCUGGAAGUGCGGUACCUGUUGGCCGGAGAUUCGCAUCGGAACGGUUGCAGCACGGCGAAUUCCGUGGUUCGGGCGGCAAGUGGCACGAUUUUGCGCGGCGUAUUCCGGUGGAUUUUUGCUGAUUCGGUGCGGUGAAGGUUCUGCUUUUUGCGGUGGUGUGGAGCGUCGUCAGUUCCGGCGGCAUUUUUGGGACAAAGGAGAGCGUUCGUUGGCGGCGGUGGCCAGGCGAUUUGUUCUUGGACCGGGAGAAAGCAGCUUUGGUAAGCUAGGGCAAUUGGGGUCAAGUGAUCUUUUGCCAAAAAUAAUUUCAAUAAAAAAAAUAAUUCCUUAGCAAGUAUCACUGAGGAGUUUGUGAGGAAAAAUUCAUGUGAGCUUAUUAAUCUAAACCGUGUGAGCUUAUUAAUCUAAAACCGGGUUGCUUUGUAAGUGUGUGUGUGAAUCUUUUGUUCGUUUGAACAAAGGGUUUCGCCAUUUUAUUUAUUGGUUCAUUAAGAGAGUUUUUCUUUUUCUUUAAUUUAGUAAGGCCAAAUCGCCACGGUGUAAUUCAGCUGUUUGAGCCGGUGCACAAACUUUUGCUUCGCUGAACGACGUUUUCCUGUGCUGGUGCACGGUGCGCACGACGAGUUUGUGCAGGAGGUUAAGUUUGCUUGCUGGCAAAGGCCGGGUGCGAGAUCGACAUGGGUUCGAACGGGUUAGCUACCUCUAUUGAGAUGUUUAGAAAGGGUACGUCAUUUACGGACUGGUCCGAUCGACUGGCCUAUACCUUUCACGCAAAUCAAGUUGCGGCUGAUCGCCAAAAAUCGCAUUUCAUGACGAUUUGCGGACCGUUUCUUUUUUCUCAAUUAAAGCUGCACUACAGCAAAGAUGAGCUGGAUAAAGCCUCUUAUGCUGAUAUUGUGUUAAAACUGAAACAAAAAUUGGACAAAACGGAGCCGGACUUAGUCCAGCGCUUUCGUUUUAGUCAACGAAACCAGCAACAUGAUGAAUCCAUUGAGGAUUUCGUGCAGGCGGUCAAGCUGCAGGCGGAAUUCUGUGGUUUUGGGGCGUUUAAGGACGUGGCCAUCAUGGACAGGGUUCUGGCGGGUCUUCUUGACGGGAAUCUAAAAGAGAAUUUGCUGAAGGAGGAAGGUUUGACUUUGGACAAGAUGGACAACUUCAUAACAACAUGGAACAUAGCAAAACAAAACGUUAAAGCGUUAAACAAUCAACCUGGAGGAUCUCAAUUGGGACAGUACAGUUACUUUACACCAGAACAAAUUCAUUACAUUCAAAAGACAACAACACAAAGACAAGGGUCUUCACGGUACGGAAAUUACAGACAAAAUGAUGGGUUGCAAAAUUUUCCAGAAAGGCGAAACAAUUCCAGAUUUCAGCCUUAUAAAAACUACAAUUCUGAUUCUCAAGUUUACACUAACCGAAGGUUCAAUAACCAAACACAACAACAAAGGUAUUUUGACAAAAGCUAUGAUAGGAGAUAUCUUCAGACUAGAAUUUCGUGUGAUUUUUGUGGAAAAAUGGGUCAUUCUAAGCAAAAUUGCUUCAAACUUGAUUACUUCAACAGACAAUUUGUGAAUUUCAUGGGUGAGAGUACUGCAGAUGAUUAUUCCUGCAAUGAAGGUGGUGAAAUUGAGUACGCAAAUGCGGAAAUGUUCAACCAAAUAGAAAACUUUCAAGAUAAUAAUGACCAAUGCAUGAAAAUUUUUACUGUUUUGAACACAACAUAUGUUAAGCUGGAUGAAACACAAAUAGAGGACCAAAUGGUUGAUUUUGAAGUUGAUGUUAGUUGCUUGUUGAAUGACAGCACAUUUUCUAUACCAAUUGAUGAUGAUAGUUAUGCUGACAUUGAAUUGAAAAGUUUGUUUACCCCGAAUUGGGAGGAUGAUUCGAUUUUGGAUUUGAACGAUUUGUUUGAUAAAACUUGUUAUAAUAUUGAUGAAAAUUGUGAUGAUGCCCUGAAUUGGGAUGAAAAUUUGUUUUGUGGUUUUGGAUUUUUACAUGAUGGUGGUGAAUGUGAGAAUGUAGGUUUUAAUGAACUUUUAGCAGAUGUCAGCGUGAGUUUUGAAGGUGCCCCAAAUUGGGAAGAAAAUGUUGUGUGUGGUUUGAAUAAUUUAUUUUUGUAUGACGAUGUUUUGGAUAUGAAACAAGAUGUGAUGUUGGAAAAUAACGUGGGUUCGAUUGAACAUAAUUUUGAUACCAAAAGGAAUAUUUCAAGCAAUGCAAUAGCAGCAAAUUUAUAUUAUACCUCAAAUUGGGAAGACAGUGACAAUUUUGAUUUGGAAUGUUUAUUUACCACUAAUGUUAACUCAAAUCAAGCAAAUCUUGAUAACUGUGAGAGUUCGGACAAAAAGCUGCUGAUUGGCAAUGAUGGUUGUGGAAUUGAGUGUUGUAUUGAUGAUGUUCAGAAUUUGAUUUUAACCCCAAUUUGGGGAAUGUUUCAAGAAAGUUCGGAAAGUGUUUGUUUCGGAAAAGUAUUAUUUGACGAAGUUUCUGAGAUGUCAGAGCGAAAAGGUAGUAGUUUAAGUUUAACGCUAUGUAAAUCUAAUUUGAAAAACGAGCAUGAUAUGCAAGACAUUGAAUUGAUGAUAAUAUUUUUGAUUAUGAUUACUGUAAUUUUUUGCCAAAAUGGGUUUAAAGCUAUACAAAUUUCGUUGUUUCUGUACAAAUUGAUGACUGAUAUUUUGACGAGCAUUGCAAAUUUGCAAUUUAUUUUGAUUUUGAGUAAAGGAUGUGCUAAAAAGUUAGACAAUCGCUUUGUUGACAAUUUUUGUGGUCGGCAUGAUCAAAAAUUUGUGGACGAUUGCUGGUUGUUAAAUGACAAAGUUGGCAAAACGCUAUUUUUUCAAAGCGGGAAAUUGAAAUGUUUACAAGUCAUCUAUGCCAAAUCAUUAAAUCUGUUUUUGAAAAGUCAUAUUUGUUACACAAUUGAGAAACAACAAAUGUUGAACAGGAAUCUUUUUAAAAGCAUCAAACCAAAGCUGUUGGUUUGUUUGCUUGAAAGUAAUCGUUUGCUGGACAGUUUGGCAAUAGUCAUUGUGUUAUUCAUAUUUUUGAGUUUAGUUUUCUCAAUUUGUUUGCUAAGAAAUCUUAUUCGCGGGUUGACGAAAGUGACGAAUGGAGAAUUCCAUAAUUUUAGUGUGUUGGUCAUUUGUUCAAAUCUGUGCAUUUAUUUUAUUCAAGACGAUGAUGGUCUGUCAUGGAAAUUUAGUUUAAUUUCAAAUAAUUAUGUGUGCAAUGGUACAUUGAAUGAAAAGCAGAUUAUAAACAAGUUAAACUAUAGCAUACCUAAAACUAAAACUGUUCAAGAGAAGUGUUUGACAGAUGAUCAGAUAGUAGAUGUGGAAACUCAAUGGUUUCAAUGGAUUUUUUUUGAAAGGGUUGUGAAUGAGGUAGUCUCUUUAACUUGGGACAUGCCUAGCAUUUAUUUUCAUAAUAUAGAUCAAAAUAUCUUGAUUCCAUGCAGUGUUUGCAUUAGUUCUCAAUCGAAAAUCCACAAUAGUGAUGAAUUACUUGUUGUUUCAAGGUCUAUUGGCUUUGUUCACAGGCUGAUAUGCUGGAUUUCUGUCCUGAGUUUUAGAGUUGUUUUUACAGUUUUCAUUAUAAAUGUCCUAAAACAAUUUUAUUUGUAUUUUAAACAGAUACUCGUACAACACGGUUCCCAGUGGAGCGAGGACAAGAAAACGCGAUGGCGCCUAGUAGCACGAAUCGUCGUGUUGUGGACUCGAAGGAGUUGUGCUGUUCGUGGUGAUUGGCAAUCAAAGAAGUUGCUGGUGGAGUGCAGCAAACGAAAUGACCUUCUACUGAAGACGAAAUGCGAAACAACAUGGAGAUUUCGAACGAG